RNAcentral lists this long non-coding RNA (2323 nucleotides) under Homo sapiens (human). RNAcentral describes it as "HSALNT0095767". Lineage: Eukaryota; Metazoa; Chordata; Mammalia; Primates; Hominidae. The record is from RNAcentral.
AAAUUCACUCUUACACUGUACCUUCCAGUCAUCAGAAACUACUGUUCUGGUUUCUAUUAUGAUAUAGUUUGUGUAUUUGUCCCCACCCAAAAUCUCAUGUUGAAAUGUCAUUACCAGUAUUAGAGGUGGGGCCUGGUGGGAGGUGAAUGGAUCAUGAAGAUGGAUUUCUCAUGAAUGGUUUACAACCAUACCGUUGGUGCUCUCCUCGUGGCAGAGUGACUUCUCGUGAGAGCCUGCUGUUUAAAAUGUAUGGCACCUCCCUGUCUUUCUCUGCCUCCUGCUUUUGCCAUGUGACAUGCAAAAUCCUACUUCACCUUCCGCCAUGAUUGUAAACUUCUAGAGGCAUGCCCAGAAGCUGAUGCUGGAGCUAUGCUUUCUAUACAGCCUGCAAAACUGGGAGCCAAUUAAGGCUCUUUUCUUACAAAUUACCCAGUCUCACGUAUUUCAUUAUAGUAAUGCAAGAACAGCCUAAUACGAUUACCACAGAUUAUUUUGCCUGUUCUUAUAUUUUAUGUAAAUGGAAUCAUACAGUAUGAAACCUUUCAUUUCUGUUUUCUUUUAUUCAAUAUAUGUUUUGAAUAUUCAUAUAUAUUGUUGCAUGUAUUUAUAUAUCAUUCAUUUAUGUUGCUAGAAAAACAUUCCAUUGUAUGAAUAUAUUAGAGUUUGUAUCCAUUCUCCUGUUGAUGAACAUUUGCAUUGUUUUCAGUUUUGGAUAUCAUGAAUAAAGUCAUUUUGAAUAUAUUGUGAAACGAUUUUUAUGGAUUUAUGCUGUCAUUAAUCUUGGAUAAAUGCCUAUGUGAAACAGAAAAAUCUCUCAGUUCUGGAUCAUAGCAUUUACUUCUGAGGUAUGGCUGUUUUUGAGUUUCAGUGGAAGACUCUGACGUUUCAAAUACCAAGGCUCUUUACGUUGUUGGGACCCAAUUUGUUCUCCUCUACGGUCACUAAAAAUAUAAUGGCUCUACAAUUAACUACAAGGAAGUAUGUUGCAAGGUAGUCCAAGUGCACACACUGCAAGGCAGAGAUACAAACAUCACAUCCAGCAAGCAAAUAAGAGUGUAUCUGUGCCUGAAACAAGGAUACUAAGGUCAUCCACAACAGUGGUGUCUAAUGGGGGAAGCAGAAGAGUCAGUGUUACUGAGAUAAGAUGUGAGAGAGAUUCAGUCGUUACUGGAUUUGAAGAUGGAAGGAGGAAAUAAGUCAAAAGAAUGGGAACAUUAUCUAGAAGCUGAUACGGCAAGAAAAUUGAUUCUUUUUUAUGGCCUGCAGAAAAUAACACUAUCUUGGUGACACCUUGAUUUUAGCCCAGUGAGACCUGUUUUGCCUUGACUUCCAUGAUUGUCGGAAAGAAGCCAGCUACAUUGUCAUGAAGACACUCAAGCUGACCUAUGAAGAGGUCCAUGUGUUAAGAAACUGCGGCCUGCCACCAACAGCCAUGUGAGUGAGCCAUCAUGGAAAUGGAUUUUACAGCUCAAUUCAAGCUUUCAGAUGGUGGCAACCUGGGCUGACAUCUUGAGCACAGCCUCUUGAAAAAUCUCUGAGCCAAAACCAACCAUUUAAGCAGCUCCUGAAUUUCAGACCCACAGAUAUGCUGACAUAAAUGUUUAUUGUAUUAACCCAUGAUUUUUCUUUUUAAUCACACAGUACUAGCCUAUUUUGGCAAAUCUUUUUCAAGAGACUCUUCAUUUUUUUCUUUUCUUUUUUUUAUUUUUUUGAGACAGAGUCUCGCUCUGUUGCCCAGGCUGGAGUGCCGUGGCUUAAUCUCAGCUCACUGCAACCUCCACCUCCCAGAUUCAAGCAAUUCUCCUGUCUCAGCCUCCUGAGUAGCUGGGAUUACAGGCGUGCACCACCAUACCCAGCUAAUUUUUGUAUUUUGUAUUUUUAGUAGAGACAGGGUUUUACCAUGUUGGUCAGGCUGGUCUCAAACUCCUGGCCUCAUGAUCCACCCACGUCAGCCUCCCAAAGUGCUGGGAUUACAGGUGUGAGCCACUGUGCCCUGCCUUUUUUUCUUUUAAUUGUCAUUUUAUAGCUCUCCACCGCAGCUUCCCCACACCCUUCCCUUCCAUGAUGAUGUUUACAGGCUUUGGGGGGACCACGGAACAAAGCUGGGGCCUGGCAGCCCCACUAGGUUGCCAGCUGGGGAGAACAAGGCACAAUUACAAAUUAUCACAACAAUUAGCACCUGUACUUGGGGGAUCUGCAAAUUGAGGAGGCCCCAGCUCCUCAUGGUACAGGGGUCUAUCUGGCAGUGAACUUACUCUGGAGACAAUGGUAUUCCUUCAGUCUGAGGGAGUUGAUGUUGAUGAACCCGGUGUCAUCAAUCGGC